Molecule: ribosomal RNA, 433 nt
Filed under: uncultured bacterium
Lineage: Bacteria
Description: partial 16S ribosomal RNA
Rfam family: Bacterial small subunit ribosomal RNA
Source: RNAcentral
AACGAACGCUGGCGGCAUGCCUAACACAUGCAAGUCGAACGAGACCUUCGGGUCUAGUGUCGCACGGGUGCGUAACGCGUGGGAACCUGCCCUUAGGUUCGGAAUAACUCCCCGAAAGGGGUGCUAAUACCGGAUAAUGUCUUCGGACCAAAGAUUUAUCGCCUUUGGAUGGGCCCGCGUUGGAUUAGCUAGUUGGUAGGGUAAAAGCCUACCGAGGCGACGAUCCAUAGCUGGUCUGAGCGGAUGAUCAGCCACACUGGGACUGAGACACGGCCCAGACUCCUACGGGAGGCAGCAAUGGGGAAUAUUGGACGAUGGGCGAAAGCCUGAUCCAGCAAUGCCGCGUGAGUGAUGAAGGCCUUAGGGUUGUAAAGCUCUUUUACCCGGGAUGAUAAUGACAGUACCGUGAGAAUAAGCUCCGGCUAACUCCGUG